Sesamum indicum (sesame) is the source of this 489-nucleotide non-coding RNA. The record is from RefSeq and is a predicted model, not a curated record. Lineage: Eukaryota; Viridiplantae; Streptophyta; Magnoliopsida; Lamiales; Pedaliaceae.
CAGAGAUUUAUUCAAUCAAAGAGUACAACAGGGGAAAGGAGCAAAAAGCUAAGGAUGGCAUCCAUUUGUCAAGGUAAGGACUCGUGGCCCGAGUUAGUUGGAGUGUGUGGAGAAAUCGCAGUAAAAACUAUUGAGAAAGAAAACUCUUUGGUCAAUGCUAUUCUUGUUCCACCAGCAAUACCAACUUUUGAUUAUAGAUGCGAUCGAGUAUUUGUUUUCAUUGAUGAAAAAGGCAUCGUUUCAAGGGUGCCUAUGAUCUUCUAGGGUUAAACAAACGGAUGGUCGAAUCCCCACUAUUUCACAUAAUUAGUUUGGAUUUGAAUAAAUCUGAUGUAAAUUAAAAUAUUGUCCAGUUAAUAAGUUAUUUGUGGACGCCAAUAAUGUUUCCUAUGUAAUGUGUGUGUCAGUAAAUAUUGCGGCAAGUUUCAUCUUUGUUCAAAUUUCGUACACCAAUUAGAAACUUGUCCCUUAUAAGAAAUGGUGUCAAUA